This 546-nucleotide unclassified non-coding RNA is filed under the name Trichosporon asahii. RNAcentral's name for it is "sequence contains 18S rRNA gene, ITS1, 5.8S rRNA gene, ITS2, 28S rRNA gene". The stretch from base 168 to 321 matches the Rfam family "5.8S ribosomal RNA". The record is from RNAcentral. Lineage: Eukaryota; Fungi; Basidiomycota; Tremellomycetes; Trichosporonales; Trichosporonaceae.
UCGUAACAAGGUUUCCGUAGGUGAACCUGCGGAAGGAUCAUUAGUGAUUGCCUUUAUAGGCUUAUAACUAUAUCCACUUACACCUGUGAACUGUUCUACUACUUGACGCAAGUCGAGUAUUUUUACAAACAAUGUGUAAUGAACGUCGUUUUAUUAUAACAAAAUAAAACUUUCAACAACGGAUCUCUUGGCUCUCGCAUCGAUGAAGAACGCAGCGAAUUGCGAUAAGUAAUGUGAAUUGCAGAAUUCAGUGAAUCAUCGAAUCUUUGAACGCAGCUUGCGCUCUCUGGUAUUCCGGAGAGCAUGCCUGUUUCAGUGUCAUGAAAUCUCAACCACUAGGGUUUCCUAAUGGAUUGGAUUUGGGCGUCUGCGAUUUCUGAUCGCUCGCCUUAAAAGAGUUAGCAAGUUUGACAUUAAUGUCUGGUGUAAUAAGUUUCACUGGGUCCAUUGUGUUGAAGCGUGCUUCUAAUCGUCCGCAAGGACAAUUACUUUGACUCUGGCCUGAAAUCAGGUAGGACUACCCGCUGAACUUAAGCAUAUCAAUAA